This 1395-nucleotide ribosomal RNA is filed under the name uncultured bacterium. RNAcentral describes it as "bacterial SSU rRNA". It matches the Rfam family "Bacterial small subunit ribosomal RNA". The record is from RNAcentral.
AGAGUUCUUUCCUGGCUCAGAUUGAACGCUGGCGGCAGGCCUAACACAUGCAAGUCGAGCGGUAGAGAGAAGCUUGCUUCUCUUGAGAGCGGCGGACGGGUGAGUAAUGCCUAGGAAUCUGCCUGGUAGUGGGGGAUAACGUUCGGAAACGGACGCUAAUACCGCAUACGUCCUACGGGAGAAAGCAGGGGACCUUCGGGCCUUGCGCUAUCAGAUGAGCCUAGGUCGGAUUAGCUAGUUGGUGAGGUAAUGGCUCACCAAGGCGACGAUCCGUAACUGGUCUGAGAGGAUGAUCAGUCACACUGGAACUGAGACGCGGUCCAGACUCCUACGGGAGGCAGCAGUGGGGAAUAUUGGACAAUGGGCGAAAGCCUGAUCCAGCCAUGCCGCGUGUGUGAAGAAGGUCUUCGGAUUGUAAAGCACUUUAAGUUGGGAGGAAGGGCAGUAAAUUAAUACUUUGCUGUUUUGACGUUACCGACAGAAUAAGCACCGGCUAACUCUGUGCCAGCAGCCGCGGUAAUACAGAGGGUGCAAGCGUUAAUCGGAAUUACUGGGCGUAAAGCGCGCGUAGGUGGUUUGUUAAGUUGGAUGUGAAAUCCCCGGGCUCAACCUGGGAACUGCAUUCAAAACUGACUGACUAGAGUAUGGUAGAGGGUGGUGGAAUUUCCUGUGUAGCGGUGAAAUGCGUAGAUAUAGGAAGGAACACCAGUGGCGAAGGCGACCACCUGGACUAAUACUGACACUGAGGUGCGAAAGCGCGGGGAGCAAACAGGAUUAGAUACCCUGGUAGUCCACGCCGUAAACGAUGUCAACUAGCCGUUGGAAGCCUUGAGCUUUUAGUGGCGCAGCUAACGCAUUAAGUUGACCGCCUGGGGAGUACGGCCGCAAGGUUAAAACUCAAAUGAAUUGACGGGGGCCCGCACAAGCGGUGGAGCAUGUGGUUUAAUUCGAAGCAACGCGAAGAACCUUACCAGGCCUUGACAUCCAAUGAACUUUCUAGAGAUAGAUUGGUGCCUUCGGGAACAUUGAGACAGGUGCUGCAUGGCUGUCGUCAGCUCGUGUCGUGAGAUGUUGGGUUAAGUCCCGUAACGAGCGCAACCCUUGUCCUUAGUUACCAGCACGUAAUGGUGGGCACUCUAAGGAGACUGCCGGUGACAAACCGGAGGAAGGUGGGGAUGACGUCAAGUCAUCAUGGCCCUUACGGCCUGGGCUACACACGUGCUACAAUGGUCGGUACAGAGGGUUGCCAAGCCGCGAGGUGGAGCUAAUCCCAUAAAACCGAUCGUAGUCCGGAUCGCAGUCUGCAACUCGACUGCGUGAAGUCGGAAUCGCUAGUAAUCGCGAAUCAGAAUGUCGCGGUGAAUACGUUCCCGGGCCUUGUACUCACCGCCCGUC